This 45-nucleotide non-coding RNA is filed under the name Schistosoma mattheei. Lineage: Eukaryota; Metazoa; Platyhelminthes; Trematoda; Strigeidida; Schistosomatidae. The record is from RNAcentral.
AUCCAGCUGACGAGUCCCGAACGGGACGAAACGCGAGUCCUGGAU